AUUGAACGCUGGCGGCAGGCCUAACACAUGCAAGUCGAACGGUAACAGGAAGCGGCUUGCUGCUUUGCUGACGAGUGGCGGACGGGUGAGUAAUGUCUGGGAAACUGCCUGAUGGAGGGGGAUAACUACUGGAAACGGUAGCUAAUACCGCAUAACGUCGCAAGCCCAAAGAGGGGGACCUUCGGGCCUCUUGCCAUCGGAUGUGCCCAGAGGGGAUUAGCUAGUAGGUGGGGCAAAGGCUCACCUAGGCGACGAUCCCUAGCUGGUCUGAGAGGAUGACCAGCCACACUGGAACUGAGACACGGUCCAGACUCCUACGGGAGGCAGCAGUGGGGAAGAUUGCACAAUGGGCGUAAGCCUGAUGCAGCCAUGCCGCGUGUAUGAAGAAGGCCUUCGGGUUGUAAAGUACUUUCAGCGGGGAGGAAGGGAGUAAAGUUAAUACCUUUGCUCAUUGACGUUACCCGCAGAAGAAGCACCGGCUAACUCCGUG
Molecule: ribosomal RNA, 490 nt
Filed under: uncultured bacterium
Lineage: Bacteria
Description: partial 16S ribosomal RNA
Rfam family: Bacterial small subunit ribosomal RNA
Source: RNAcentral